AAUGUACUCCCUCAGUCCGAAAAUACUUGUCAUCAAGAUGGACAAAAGAGCGUGUAUCUAGACAUAUUUUAGUUCUAGAUACAUCUAUUUUUAUCCAUUUUGAUGACAAGUAUUUUCGGACGGAGGGAGUACAUC
Molecule: non-coding RNA, 135 nt
Organism: Triticum aestivum (bread wheat)
Lineage: Eukaryota; Viridiplantae; Streptophyta; Magnoliopsida; Poales; Poaceae
Source: Rfam